UCAGUUGAUCGGGCAACCGCUGUUUUGUUGCAAAUAUUAUUUUUGUAACAAAAGGGAGGAAAGUCCGGGCUCCAUAGGGCAGAAUGCCAGGUAAUGCCUGGGCGGCGUGAGUCGACGGAAAGUGCCACAGAAAAUAAACCGCCUUGAAUAUACUUAGAUAUGCUCAAGGUAAGGGUGAAAAGGUGCGGUAAGAGCGCACCGCGCCACUGGUAACAGUGUGUGGCAGGGUAAACCCCGUUCGGAGCAAAACCAAAUAGGGAUGCUAUGGUGUGGCCCGCAUUGCAUUCGGGUAGGUUGCUUGAGGCCUAUGGCGACAUAGGUUCUAGAUGAAUGGUUGUCCACGACAGAACCCGGCUUACAGAUCGACUGUAUUU
Molecule: RNase P RNA, 374 nt
Filed under: Pseudomonadota bacterium
Lineage: Bacteria; Pseudomonadati; Pseudomonadota
Description: Proteobacteria bacterium RNase P RNA component class A
Rfam family: Bacterial RNase P class A
About the family: Ribonuclease P (RNase P) is a ubiquitous endoribonuclease, found in archaea, bacteria and eukarya as well as chloroplasts and mitochondria. Its best characterised activity is the generation of mature 5'-ends of tRNAs by cleaving the 5'-leader elements of precursor-tRNAs. Cellular RNase Ps are ribonucleoproteins.
Source: RNAcentral